UACGUAGGGGGCAAGCGUUGUCCGGAAUCAUUGGGCGUAAAGCGCGUGUAGGCGGUUCGAUAAGUCUGCUGUGAAAGUCCAGGGCUCAACCCUGGAAAGCCGGUGGAUACUGUCGGACUAGAGUGCGGAAGAGGCGAGUGGAAUUCCAGGUGUAGCGGUGAAAUGCGUAGAUAUCUGGAGGAACACCGGUGGCGAAGGCGGCAUCCUGGACCGGCAUUGACGCUGAGGCGCGAAAGCUAGGGGAGCAAACGGG
RNAcentral lists this ribosomal RNA (253 nucleotides) under uncultured bacterium. RNAcentral describes it as "partial 16S ribosomal RNA". It matches the Rfam family "Bacterial small subunit ribosomal RNA", at positions 524 to 776 of the family's 1533-position model. The record is from RNAcentral.